Long non-coding RNA from Dreissena polymorpha, 559 nucleotides. RefSeq lists it as uncharacterized. The record is from RefSeq and is a predicted model, not a curated record. The transcript has 3 exons. NCBI's taxonomy places the organism in Eukaryota, Metazoa, Mollusca, Bivalvia, Myida, Dreissenidae.
UAUUGAAGGUAAAACAAUAAUGUUGAGAAAUUUCAUCCGAAGGGAUGGGUAUAUCAUUCUAACCCGAACAUCUAGACUGUUCCCAACACAAGAAAUUGAAGUCCCUGACAGCAGAGUACAAGAGGGUAAGGCUCUUGUCAAUCCACCAGCGGCUCCUAUGGUUUCAUUGAGAGAAGCACUAAGGUCACCUCCAAAAACCAAAACAACUGUUCGCGGGAAAGUCAUUCAGGAUGAAGAAGAGCGCGACAUCCUGGUAGGAAAGUAGAAAAGUCCGACAAAGAUGAGAACAAUUUAGAUACAGGAUGAAACGGUGGACAGAGUAAAAGUGGCUUUGUGGAGAAACACUAACAAAAACGUCAGAACUGGGGAUUUCGUCAAAAUCACUUAUUUGACAAUACACACUUACCAAACAAAGUACACAACUGAAACCAGCUUCAAUUCUACCUACACAACUUCAGUUACUAAAGUCGAACCACCAACUGUACAUGUGACACUUACAGUAAUUAGUGCCUGUGCACAAGAUGACGUUACAGAACUUCUCCUCAGUGAUGACUCUGUG